CCUACGGGAGGCAGCAGUGAGGAAUAUUGGUCAAUGGACGAGAGUCUGAACCAGCCAAGUAGCGUGAAGGAUGACUGCCCUAUGGGUUGUAAACUUCUUUUAUAUGGGAAUAAAAUGUUCCACGUGUGGGAUUUUGUAUGUACCAUAUGAAUAAGGAUCGGCUAACUCCGUGCCAGCAGCCGCGGUAAUACGGAGGAUCCGAGCGUUAUCCGGAUUUAUUGGGUUUAAAGGGAGCGUAGGUGGAUUGUUAAGUCAGUUGUGAAAGUUUGCGGCUCAACCGUAAAAUUGCAGUUGAAACUGGCAGUCUUGAGUACAGUAGAGGUGGGCGGAAUUCGUGGUGUAGCGGUGAAAUGCUUAGAUAUCACGAAGAACUCCGAUUGCGAAGGCAGUUCACUGGACUGCACCUGACACUGAGGCUCGAACGUGUGGGUAUCAAACAGGAUUAGAUACCCGGGUAGUC
Molecule: ribosomal RNA, 460 nt
Filed under: uncultured bacterium
Lineage: Bacteria
Description: partial 16S ribosomal RNA
Rfam family: Bacterial small subunit ribosomal RNA
Source: RNAcentral